Molecule: long non-coding RNA, 706 nt
Organism: Silurus meridionalis
Lineage: Eukaryota; Metazoa; Chordata; Actinopteri; Siluriformes; Siluridae
Exons: 3
Source: RefSeq, a predicted model, not a curated record
CAAAUGCUUCGGAUUCCGUACUCUUAUAAAGUGUCUGAGCAGCUGUGAGGAAUGGUUGCUGCUUGAUUGUCUGUUUGUUUCAGCGUCAGAUUUCUUCUCUAAUAAGGCGGCGUUUAUCCUUCAUGUGCAAGUGUUGUGCAUUUAAUAAGAGGAACUGCAUUUGGUCACUGCUGUCCUUCUUUACCCUUUAUUUUUGGGUUUUGUGAUUUAAUGUUUGUUUGGUUUUCUUUAUUUAAGGCACCCAUCACGUUGUAUGGAUGCUGUGUUUAGCUGAUUGGUAAAAAGACUAUAGGGGGAUUGUUUGCAGAUAUUUUACUGUAUAAUAACCAACUGAUUUUGUGUAUCUGUUCCUUUCCAGUGGAUCAUCUGGGAGCACUGGUUGGAUUGUGGGUGUUGGUCCUUUGAUGGUGGAAUCUGUGCUACGGUUUACACUGCAUGCUGUGUGAAUUUUAUGAAUUUACGGUGUGUGGCACUUUGCGUGUGUGUGGGUGUGCGCGUGUGUGUUUUUCUUUACAGGCACCAUUUUGGGUGAACCUUUUGGGGUUAAAGUGGGCCUGCACCUGUGGCCUGUCAGUCUUCCUUUGUAUCCACUGGAAUGUUUGGUGUUAAUUGGUAAUUGUAACAUUUGGUAUCCUUUUAAUAUGAUUCAUGUUGCAGUUUUAAAUAAAAUAAGGUACUAAUAAUAAAGGUUUAUAUUUUAACUGAU